UACGGAGGAUCAAAGCGUUGUCCGGAAUUAUUGGGUUUAAAGGGUCCGCAGGCGGGAUAUUAAGUCAGUGGUGCAAGGCUGUCGCUUAACGAUAGCACUGCUAUUGAUACUGGUAUUCUUGAGUAUAGUUGAGGUGGGCGGAAUAAGUCAUGUAGCGGUGAAAUGCAUAGAUAUGACUUAGAACACCGAUUGCGAAGGCAGCUCACUAAGCUAUUACUGACGCUCAGGGACGAAAGCGUGGGUAGCAAACAGG
Molecule: unclassified non-coding RNA, 253 nt
Filed under: uncultured Cryomorphaceae bacterium
Lineage: Bacteria; Pseudomonadati; Bacteroidota; Flavobacteriia; Flavobacteriales; Cryomorphaceae
Description: contains 16S-23S intergenic spacer region
Rfam family: Bacterial small subunit ribosomal RNA
Source: RNAcentral